UGUGAGUAGACAAGAACUCUGUGAGAGG
This 28-nucleotide non-coding RNA is filed under the name Mus musculus (house mouse). Lineage: Eukaryota; Metazoa; Chordata; Mammalia; Rodentia; Muridae. The record is from RNAcentral.